This 223-nucleotide long non-coding RNA is filed under the name Linum usitatissimum (flax). RNAcentral's name for it is "long non-coding RNA (LUSI_LNC002089)". The record is from RNAcentral. Lineage: Eukaryota; Viridiplantae; Streptophyta; Magnoliopsida; Malpighiales; Linaceae.
AAAAACACCAUCUCCAAGGUGAAAGAUUAACUACCUAUGGCGAGGCGAAAGAGCUUGCAGUGAUCAGUUGUUCAAUAAUUGUGGUUGGGUUCGGUCGAGCAUAUCGAUUACCGUUUGUACAGUCGACUGCUAGCUGGACAGCCACAUUCAGCGAUGCCAUAUUAGGGGGGGCAUCCAUAUUUGCAUCGACAUACAUUUGACGAAAAUUGUUACGUGGUAUAUU